AUUGAACGCUGGCGGCAUGCUUUACACAUGCAAGUCGAACGGGGUGAGGAGCUUGCUCCUCAUCUAGUGGCGAACGGGUGAGUAAUACAUCGGAACGUACCGUGUAGUGGGGGAUAACGUAGCGAAAGUUACGCUAAUACCGCAUACGAUCCACGGAUGAAAGCAGGGGACCUUUCGGGCCUUGUGCUAUACGAGCGGCCGAUGUCUGAUUAGCUAGUUGGUGGGGUAAAGGCCCACCAAGGCAACGAUCAGUAGCGGGUCUGAGAGGAUGAUCCGCCACACUGGGACUGAGACACGGCCCAGACUCCUACGGGAGGCAGCAGUGGGGAAUUUUGGACAAUGGGCGCAAGCCUGAUCCAGCCAUGCCGCGUGUCUGAAGAAGGCCUCGG
RNAcentral lists this ribosomal RNA (389 nucleotides) under uncultured bacterium. RNAcentral's name for it is "bacterial SSU rRNA". It matches the Rfam family "Bacterial small subunit ribosomal RNA", at positions 30 to 420 of the family's 1533-position model. The record is from RNAcentral.